UAUGAGCAGUCGGUCAAAUUUGGAUGCAUUCUCCAACGUUUCACGUUUGCCAAACCAAAGCGUCCUUUCCCAAGACCAAAAUCAUUCCCAAAGGCAAAAUCAUUGAUUUUCUGUUGAGGAUAUUAAGAUGGUUGCAAACAUUUCAAAGCAUAAUUUGUUGUUCAUCCAAAAACCCUAGCCGCAUAACUAAUUUCUCAGGACAGAGACGAAGGAGAAGAAGAAGACGGAGGGGAAGAGAAAGACGAAGGACUGGAUAUUAGGAUUUCUGUUGUUCUAUGUUGCAAAAUUUAUCUCUGUUAUUUUAAUGGAAUUUCACAUAUUUGCAUAAGAGAAGUAGUAUUGGAAUCGUUAAUGAAAACCCCAGUUGUGGAGGUCCUUCGAUCCUUGGUAACCAUGUUCAAGGGAUAGAGUAUGAAAGACAACAUACCAGGUGCAAUAUAGGUUUGAGGUUGAUAUAAAGGAGCUUUUUGGACAAAUUGACACCUCCACAUACAGUAAGAUGAUUUUUUUUCUUUGGUUAGUACUUAAUGGCCUAAAUUGUUCUACUGAAAGUAUGUCGGGAUUUUUGCGGCCCUUAGUUAUUGUUCUCCUUAUAUUUUUAAAAUUUGGAUCUGAAUUUGAGUUAUCUAAUGUGAUUUAUUUUAUAUUUCGAAUAGCUUGGUAAUGUUGGAGGAAGAAUGUAAAACACUGUCGGAUGCUGUGAGUAAUUUGUGUUGUUAAUCAAAUUUAAUUGUUGAUUAUGAUAAUUCAGUUUUUUAUUUACAUUUAUUUCAUGAGAAGACUCUUUAUUUUGCUAUGGUAGAAAAUAAAAUAAGAAAGAAGAA
Vicia villosa (hairy vetch) is the source of this 824-nucleotide long non-coding RNA. RefSeq lists it as uncharacterized. NCBI's taxonomy places the organism in Eukaryota, Viridiplantae, Streptophyta, Magnoliopsida, Fabales, Fabaceae. The transcript is spliced from 3 exons. The record is from RefSeq and is a predicted model, not a curated record.